UCUCUCUCUCUCUGAUACCUAAAAACUCAAAACCUCCUCUCUUUUUUAACAUCACAUGUUUUUCCCAAUUUAACCCUAGCCGACGUCUCUCUCUCUCUCCUCGAUCCCAAUCUCCGGCGAUCCCUAAUCUCCGGUCCCGACCGCCGCUUAGGGUUUUCGGCGCUCAAUUCAUUUUCACAAUCAGGAUUAAGCCUAAGGCUAAGGCUAAGGGUUUCAAUCUCCAAUCUGCGAGAUUCGGAUUCUAGGGUUUUGGAUUGACAAGGGAAUCGGAUUGGGAUUUUCUAGGGUUAGUGAUGACGAGGAGUUCGAGGCACAAGUCGAGCAAGCAUCGGGAUGUGAGGGAGUACUCGGAUUCGGAGAAGGAGAAGGAUUUGAGUUCGAAGGAUCGGAAGGAGAGCGGCGGCGGAGGAGGAGGAGGUAGGGUUUCGAAGGAGUCGAGUGAGAAGAGGAAGCUGGAUUUGAAGGAGGGGAAGGAGAGUGAGUAUUCGGAGGAGUUAGUGUCGUCGAAGCGGCGGAAGGAGAGGGCUGUUGAUGUGGUGGAUGCAGGGAGUGACAGGUGGAACGGCGGCGGCGGAGGGGAGUAUGAUCACAGGGAGAAGAAGUCGGUGAAGGGCUCCGGGGAUUCGAAGAGUAGGAAGAGGGAUGGGAGUGUGGAAAUGUAUGGGGAGGAGGUGAAGAAGAGCAGUAGCGGCGGUGGGAAGGGUGAAGGGAAGCAUAGGGAUAGGGAGAGGGAGAGGGAUAAGGAUUCGAGUCGAAAGGAGGGGAGAGAAGGCGGUGGAGUGGAGAGGGAGAAGGAUAGGGAAAGGGAGAGGGAGAAGAAAAGUAAAGAGGGGAGAAGUGGCGGCGAGGAUCAUCAGCGUGUGGCGGCAAAGCAAGGGAAUGAAAAUAAUGGUAAGGUAACUUAACUGGUUUGUUAGUUUUCGUGUGUUAUUAUAAUGUGGAUGUAUUCUGUACAUAGUUUGCUAUUAGCUGAAAUGCUGACUUUCUAUGCAGUGUAGUUCAACAUAGUAUUACAUUGUCGUAUUGGUUAUUCUGCUAUCAUGAUGAGUAAAUGCUAGUUUUGGUGAAGAUCCCGCUUAAGCUUAGAUUUUGAUAUUGACAAUCAAAAUGUGCGAGACAUACAGUCCUGAGUUUUUCUUUUUCGCUUUAUAGAAGUCAAACUGAUUGCUGCUAGGACCAUCCAUUGUACUAUAUUUGUGUAUAAUAGAUGUGAGAGUCCUGUUUAUUUGUGGUUCCCACUAAUGCCUUUCUAUAUUACUAAUUACAUUCUCGGUCAUUAUUACUUGAAGACAUUAGGCUUAACAUGACAAUUUGUCAUUGUUAGACGAACUACAUGAUUCUCUAUUGCCGGUUGCUAGCAUAAGUAAUAGUUUUGUUUAACAAUGAAGUGCUUGUUAAAUUGAUCCACAUGAUUGAUGUAGCAAAGUACCAGUUGUGGCCGUUCCAACUGCAGAUUGUGGGAAUAUAUAAAAGAUAUAGUAGUUAACACUCAUCUCUAAGGCGUGUGGGUGAUUAAUAACUUUAUCAGUAUGAUUGUGUUCAUUGUCUUGUGGAAUAUCGAGUCUGGUUUCUUCUAUUCAGAUGCUGUGAGGUUUGUAUACUUGUCUAGUUGAAGUUGACAUUCUUCCUUUUUCUGUAGUUUAGUAUCCAUUCAUAAACAAGUUGGAUGAAUCUGUCAUUGGUUCUGUUUUGGAUUCUCUCUCUUAGCUACGCUGCCUUACUAUCCAUUGUAUUGAUUUUCUUUUUCUUUUUUGGCCAGUAACUUAAUUCGUUUUUUAAUGGAGCCAAUAUAUUCAUUUUUUUUCUUGAAAGUGUAUGUAACAAAAGCCAACUAGAUUCUGCCAUAUCCGAACGGAUUAUUCAGUUAAAUACUAUAGAAUGUUGUUUCGCAUAAGUUUUGGUUGAAGUUUUAGGUUUGGAAAUUAGACUAGAAUGAAGUUAUCAGAUUGCUUGAUUACCUUAGUACAUGAGGCUGUAGAUUGCAUCAUUAUUCUGCAAGAGAUGAUUGACUUUGUUCUUCAGUUUCUCAUAUAUGAAGUGUGUGCUUUGUGUAAUAAUGACUUGUGUGACAAUAUUCUGUAGCUAGACCUGUUCAUGACUUUGUUAUAUAUAAAAGAUGAAAUUCGCCAGCCCAACUUUGUUUUGGAUGAAACUUACCUCUUAUUUUAUGGGACAUUGCAGAUUUAAAUGGACGGAAGGAUUUGGAAAGUCCUGAACCAGAGAGCCAGAUUGAUAGACGAAUGAGGAAAAGGAGAGGUGAUUCUGGUGAUACUGAUAAACAUCUAGAUUUCGUAGAAGACAUCAAUGGUGGGCGAUUAUCGUCUAAGGAUGAUUUAGGCAGGGAAGGUAGGCAGAAAGAUGAGAAGCGAAAGGAUGACAGGUAUAGGGAGAAGUAUCGUGAAGACAUGGAUAGGGACAAUAAAUCCCGAGAUGAAAAGCAAAGAGAUGAGAAGCAAAGGGAUGAACGCUCUACAAAAGAUCAUCUAAGUGUCAAGUCUGAGGAUAAGCAUUUAAGGGAUGAAAAAGAUACAAGUGAUAUGCAACAGAAGAGAUCCAAGCUUCAGGAUGGUGAGCGCAAAGGAGAGCAUGACCGUGAUCGCAAUCGGGACCGUGACUCAUAUCAUGUUCGUGAGCGUGAACGGUACCAUGACCGUGAACGUGAACAUGGGUGGGAUCAUGGCCGUGACCGUGAUCGCGAUUAUGAUCGGGAUUGGGACUGGGAUCGUGAGAGGGAUGGAGAUCGUGACCGAGAGAGGAAUCAUGACCGUGAGCGAGCUCGAGACCGUGAUAGAGAUGGUGAUCGAGAUCGUGACCGUGAUUAUGACCGGGACUAUGAAGGGUCACAUCUUGAUGAUCGUAGCACGAGAUAUAAAGAUGGUAGCAGAGGAAAGAGAAGAUCGCCAGAUGAUCGAGAUGAUUCUACUGAUACUAAACCCAGAGGUGUGAAACCUAGGUAUUCUGACUUUGAAAAGAAGUCAUCAAGUGGUGAUAGGGUUGAGUCGGAUGUUAAUAAGGGAAGAUCUCAGUCGCGGCAAGCUUAUGCAGACACUAUUAUAAGCAACAAUAAACGAAGGACUUCUCCCAGUUCAAAUUCAAAUGUUGGCAUAGAUGAGUACAGGUACUUACUAUUAUUCAUGUCAUUGUCACAUUCUAUAUAUAAGCCGAAAAAUGUGCUUUGAUUGUCAUAUUGUGGAUCUUUGGUUUUCAUGCCUCUGUAUAUCAUACCUUCAAAGUCACCCUUUACUGUAGGAUCAUGAAAAUGUACUAAGUUGUUAUUAAUUAUCCAGUUUGGGUUCCUAGUUUAUCCAUGAAUACUUUGCAAUGGUUGAAUUUCAUUAGUUUUCUUCUGUUACAGGUAUGGUAAUCCUGAAGAUAUGAAAUAUAGGGAGUCUAUAGCAGAUCAGAGGUCUAAAGCACUUCCUCCCAGAGAUGUAUCUGGAGUUUCGGAAAGAGGAUCCAAGUACAGGUCAAUGGACAAAUCCAGUAAAAUGGAUGAUAGCCAUUUAGGGGAGCUUUCAAAUGAAAAACCUUCAGGUUCUAAGGCUUCACCAAUGGCAUUGAUGGAAAGAUCUCCUUCAUCAUCAAGUAUUGACCGUAGAUUUAUGAACAAAACUGCUGCCAGACGAAGUAUUGACAUUGAAGAAACAGGUCGGAGAAGCAGUGCUUCUGAUAAUAGAGAUUUCUCUAAUACUGAGGAUAGACCGAGUCGAGACUUACCAUUGGAUGAUUCAUCCCCCGCGGAUUCAUCAACUCACAAUAGAAGUGGUCAGAGUAAUUUUUCUUCAUUUGCUCCACAUCCUAAUUUCAGGGCUGGAGUUGAAAGCCCUUCCUUUACUGGUUCAGUGGAAGACGAUAGUAGAUUAAACUCUAGUGCACGUUAUAGGAGGAGCAGUGAUCCCAAUUUGGUUCGAGGGCCUUGGAGAGGUGUCCCAAACUGGCCUUCACCAGUUCCAAAUGGUUUCAUGCCUUUCCCACAUGGGGGACCUCAUGGUGGUUUUCAAGGGAUGCUGCCACAGUUUUCAGCUCCACCAAUUUUCGGUGUUAGACCUUCAAUGGAGAUUAAUCAUUAUGCAAUUCCUUAUCAAAUUGCUGAUGAUAGGUUUCCCGGUCACUUGCGCCCACUAGGGUCUCAGAACAUUAUGGAAGGUUUGGGCCCUUCUCACAUGCAUCCAUGGGAUGGGAGUACUGGAGCCUUUAGGGAUGAUUCUAACAGUUAUGGAGCGGAAUGGGAUCAGAACAGGCAUCCAAUGAAUGCGCGGGGAUGGGAUCCCAGUGCUGAGCCAUGGAAAGCACAAAACAAUGAUGCGAAAAGGGACAUGCCCUCCCCAUCUCCCAGAAAUGAUUAUCCAUUGCAGACCCUUGUGGAUGAUGGUGUGGCUGGGCAGGCAGGGCAGACGUCUCAUCAUGAAGAUAACCAGGAUCUUGAAGUUCAUACUAAAAGAGAUGAGACAGGGUCCGCUAUAGCUUCUCCUAUGAAAGAGUCGCCUAUAAAUCAUGAGAAGUCACGGGAUGGCUCUAAAUUGGCAACUGAUAAAGUCCCUUCUUUUAGCCAUUAUUAUCUUUCCAAGCUUGACAUUUCAGCAGAACUAGCUCAUACUGAGUUGUACAGCCAGUGCAUGAGCCUACUGGAUACUGAGGGGAGCACAACUGUUGAUGAAGAUCCUACUAUGCAUACAAUUUUAAAGGUGUUUAUUGGACAACUUUGUUGAAUAUGUAUACCUUUUGUAUAUUGUCUUACUGAUUGAAAUUGCAUCUAAUGUCACAGGCUGCAACAGCAGGAUUGAGAUCAUCCAAUACAUUAUUGAGUUCCUCACUUUUUCCACCUUUGAAGGAUUCUAUUUUUCAGGUAUGCUUUACGAUACCUGAUAAUGUAUAACAUUUUCUGUACAUAGGCAUUUUGUUAAUAUUUCCGUAAUCAGGCACUUGCUUGUUCAUAUGUUAUUAAUUAGACAUGUAUGGUUUUAUGUUAAUUCAUGUAUGUUCUAGUUCUUUUUUUCUUUUUUUAGUUUUUUAAAUAACUCGGGCACCUAUAUGUUUUUGUUAUUGAAUGUUUAUGUGACAUUUGCUGUAUAUAAGUAUAUUCUUCAUUAGGUAUAUACUUGCGUUGAAAUCAUAGAAAAGCACAAACAAAACUACAACAGGGAAAUGGAAUCCAGGGAACAAUUUAGAAUAGACAUGCAUUAUAUGAAAUAUAGUGUUAAUGUAGUAAUUGUGUUUAUAGUUUGUUGACAUUUUGUCCUGUGGCUUGCAGAAAGCUAUCGAUCUUUACAAGAAGGAGAGGAUGGACGCAAAAGGCAUGCCAUAUGUUACUGGAGGAAGAUUGGAUAUUAUUUUAGCAUCAAAUCAGAAGACCAUGGAAGCAAAAGUUUGUGAAGUGGAGAAAGUGGAUCAGCUGGUGUUGAAGUCUGAUGCAGAAAUGGCAGAUGCUCCAGUGUCAAGUUCAGAUGAGAAUAAUGCUCUUGUCACUGCUUCAUCAGGUAGUGGUGAGGAAAAACUGAAUGAGCUGGUUUCAACUCCUGGUCAGGAGAUGCAAAAUCACAUCUCUCUCGGUUCUCCUGAGUUGGAAAUGGCAGUUGAAGAUUCUAGUCGAGUUGAACAGGGAGAGCCUCAAACAAUUCCAAAUGGGGUGGAAAUGGAUUCAAUAUCUUCAGAGCAGGUGAAACUAGAGGUGGACAAAGCAGAUGGUAUCUCGCUACUUAACAGUGAAGCUUCUCUUCCUACCACCACCACUUUACCUGCCGUUGGCAACAGCAUGAGCAAGGUCGAAGAAGAUAAAUCUAUUUAUCCUGCCGAGGAAGGCGUGGCUGUUGAUCCAAUAAGGGGUCCAUCAGUUAUACCAGAUGGUUCCCCUAAGGCUUGUGAUGCUUUGAUGUCUGGGUCUAAUGAGUCUGAUUCGGUAAUUUUAAGUCGGAUACAUCAUUCUCCUGAAAGUACACAUUGAGACAAUUUCUAUAUCCAUGUUUUUGUUUUCCUUUUAUUGCCUUUCAAGUUAAUUUUGCUCAUUCUAUUAUCUGUGCUUGUUUCAUCAAGAAAUAAAAUUAAAAUCCGUUUUUUCUUCCCUUUGAGAAUGGUUGUUCAUGGCCGUACUAUCUUUCUUCCUGCCCUUGGUUUUGUUGCUUGAAUUUUUGCUCCACUUUUCCUUGUUCUGGUUUCUGUGUUUGAUCGUUCUUCAUUGUUAUCAUCUGCACCAAAAUCUUUGAUCUGUUGCUUGAAAUUCUGGCACUCUGUUUUUAUUUGCCGGUUCUGUUUGAAAAUUAUUAUAUACUCCUUGCCUCACCUUGUACCACACUGUCUUGUGGAAGUAUGCAACUGUUUUUUGGGUGUUUCCAUAAAUGUGAGAUUCUGCCUUUUCAGUUGUUUGUUUGUCUUCUUUUACUGGAGUCGCAUAGUUUUAUGAACAUUUCUAUUAAAGACUUUUUUUUUAAUUUUUUUUUUCAAUUUUCAGUUUUUCAUCUCAAUUGGGCUAGAAGAUCUGUUUUUGACAUUUAUGUGAUCCUGUACGGAGGGCAUUGGUAUUUUUUGUUUUUUCUUUGUUUUCAAGUAUCUGUUUCUUUUCAUUGUUGGAAAGGAUCUAGUGUGGUCUACUAUAGUCUGGGUAAUUAGUUAGUGCUAAAUUGAACUACAGCAUUCUUAAGGGGAGACCAGAGCAUCCGCUUUUGUUCAAGUAAGAUCCAUAUCUUCAAAACUAACAUGAACUUGCUGAUUGAAUUAUGAAGUCCAUAAUUCCAUUCUCGAGGUUUGAUUUUGUGUCAUCCAUUUUCCAGUUCUGCAACUUAAGCAAUAGAAAGGGUUCAAAAACUUGUGUUACAUCUUUUGUUGCCUUGAGAUUCAAUUUUGUUAACCAAGAUUAAUUUGGUUAUUCCUUUUCCCGAACUGAAUUGAUUACCAAGUUUGGUUGGGUAUCUGUCUGUUUCCCUAUUCGAUACGGAGAAAGCCUAUAAUGAGUGUAUGUUUAUAUAUUUAUGUCGUUGGUUGGCCAAAGUUUGAUCCCACGAUAGCUGAGAACACAAAAACCCAAAAAUUCUAUAAAUUCGACAUUUCUCAAUCUCUGAAGUCGAAAUAGUGAAAUACACCCGAAGACGGGAUGGAGCCUCUAUUGAGUAUGAAAGAUUUCGAGGGCAGAAAACUUCGACUUGGUUCAUUCUUGGAUAUUUUAGGUCAGGUUGCUUGUGUUGCACGGGAGAAACACAAGCGAAGGAGGGAGGAGACAACUAUUAACAUCAAAAUCCAAAGGGGUUGUAGUAGUAGUAGCACCCCCAAGAUUAAAGUAGUCGAAGCAGCAAGUCAAGAGGACAAUGUUGAUGAUCAUGACAUGAGUUCUCGAUUGAAAAAACAGAAGAUUGUUCCCUUGCAGGUGAAUGCGUUAUAUUCAGUUGGCACAAUAACGAGUGAAAGGUCUUUAACGAGGUUUCAGGAAAAGAAUGGAUUGGCAAAGAAGAAGAGUAAUGAUGGUGGUGAAAAUGAUAGAGAUUGGAGUCUGAAGCCAAAUCCGAGGAAUAUGAACAAGAGAUUGGGAUUGAAGAGGCCAAAGGGGCAUAUACCAGCUUCAACAAAUAAUUCUGAUCCUAAUGACUUGCCUGAAGAGUUGAAAAGAAAGAUUGAAACUUUGGAAGGGAUUGAAAGUUUUGAAAAGGCCAAGAUGUACAUGGUAAUAGAGAAGCAGUUGUUCCAAACUGAUAUGGCAAAAAGCGCUAACCGGUUAUCAAUGCCUCUGAAACAAAUCAAACCGGAGAGUUUCUUGGACAAGGAUGAGAUAAAAUUUCUUGCAGAUCAAAACGACUGGCUGGUUUCGGUUAUAAGUCCCAAACUUGAGGAUGAAGCGCUAACCUUCAGGCAAUGGGACAUGCCAAAGAAUAACGGUGGUGUUAGCUCAAGUUAUGUGUUGAAACAACGUUGGAACGAAGUUCGCAACAAAAAUGGUCUCCAAAAAGAUGACUUGAUCCAAGUUUGGUCAUUCCGAGAUGUGGGAAACAACCUUCACUUUGCUCUUGUAUUGCUUGACAUGCUUGACAAGGCAAAAGAGGGUGGUUCAAGAAAUUAUGGUGUUGGGUGUAGCCUACCUUCUUCGCAAUCGACAACAGCGCCUAGGAAGAGUGAUGUUAUUGAUGGUGAACGUAAAACCUGUGAUAGUAAUCAGGUAACAGAAACAAAGGACCAAGAGAUGAUACAAGGAGAUGAGAUUAAUGAGGAGAGCAGUAGGAAGAGAAGUCUGUGUGGCAAUGAGCCAGAAAACUGUGACACCUUGUAGCAAAAACUAACAAAAUCAAAAUAGUACGUGGUUGUGAACUCGUGAUUAUAUGUAGUGGACAGAUGGAUAUUUAUUUUUGGUUGCUGCACUAGUUAAGAGUGUAUUACACAAUUUCUUACACCAGAAGCACAACUAGCUAGCUCACUAUAAUCAUUCAAUACUGAACAAAGGAAACAAGAAUAGGUUUGUUUUGCACAGUGAAGUACAUAACUUGAUAAUAGAAAGUUAUAUACAAAUGAAUGAGAAAAUGUCGUUUGAACAGUCUCAAAGUAAAUUUCUGUCAAAUUAACAAAGCCCCUAAUGUACUACUGGAGUCUAAUCUGAGCAACUGUUAGAGUACGUAGGACUAAAUUAGGAGUAUAAAAGGUUGAAGAACACAACUUUCGCGAUGCUCAUCCACCAUGGAUUCGAGCAAAUUAAAGCAACCCUUCCAGCCAGAAAUCACCUUCUCAACGCAUGAAGGUGAUGGUUUUGAAUGCUCAAAUGUUUGUGUGCAACUACAAUGCGGACCAAGAGAGUUUUCCUUUUUUUCUAACCCUAACAUUGCGUCUCUUGCAUGUGUGUUUCUAUAUACAAUCGAGUUCUGUUUGAUCAGUUCUGCACAUGAGAACAGCGGGUUAGAUUCAUUUGAUUGUUAGUCUGAUGAUCACAGCAGCCGGAGAUCGAAAGGGGUUAUUCAAGUCUAGGAUCAAACAAGGAUUUGUAAAUUUCUAGCCAAAUCAGUUCGAAGAAACACAUAGCCCAUCUGAACUUUUUUCUUUUUGUUUUUGUUUGAAAUUUUGAUUAACUACUAGAAUCGAAAAGCAUGAACUGGAGUGUGACGAGAAUCGAGAUGAUGAGAAACAGCAGCCGUUGACGGCCAGAGUCUGGUUCAUCGAUUGCCGCCGGCGAGAGACUCGUCUAGGUCGAACUGACAGUUUUAGUUUUAAAGGUGGACCCCCUCAGCCCGCUUACGCCUACGCCACGUGUAACCGCCUAGACACACCUCAUGUCCACCUGACCCACAGAAGUUAACUUUUGUUUUCCUUUUUUUAUUUUUUUCGUUUUUAAAUGGUGGACCCCCUCAGCCUGUCGGACCCAUGACACGUGGAACCGCCUAGACACGUCCUUUGCCCGCCUAGCCCACAACAGUUUAAUUUUUGUUUUCCGUUUUUUAUUUUUACUUUUCACCCAUAUUUGUCCUUUUUUUAAAUGGUGGAUCCCCUAGUCCGCAGGCCCAGCCCACAUUGAUUCCGCCUAGGCCCAGCUCGUGUCCGCCUAGCCCGCAAGAUUUGUUUUUAUUUACAAUUUUUUCUUUUUUACAGAAAAGAAAAAGAAAAAGAAAAAGAAAGAAGCUUGGUCCGAUGGUCUCUGCUUGACGACGCCUUGACAGCCCUGGCGGCCUCUGUUCUGUUGCAACCCAUCACCACCAUUCCGCCACCGUCCACAAUGAACCAAACUCUGGCCUCACUCUCUAAAACCCAGAACAUAAUUGUCCUCGUUCAGGUUGACCAAGCUGCUGAUCGAGUAUGAAAGAUGGAAAAGCCAACGGGGAAGACGAGCUCAAACUAUGUGUUGCAAACACGUUGAAGUUAGCCGGGAAAAAAAAAAAAAAAAAAACAAGCACAAGCUCCGACCAAAAUAUGUAGUCCUAGAUUGGUCAUUCCGGGACGUAGAAAACAACGAUAAGCCAAGCAUAAAGAGUCCAGGACUGCUUAUGGAAUUAGUCCUGACUAUAACAGUUUUGCGUACCAAACGUGCUGUAAUAGUAUAGCGAACCUUGUAAUUGUUUCACCACGUGGCGCACUAAUAUCUUGGCCUGAACUAGAACCACAAGUUAUGGCCACUGGUGCCCACAUCCUAUCUCUCCAUCUACAACUUAUGGUUUUUCAGUCAUUCUUGAAUGAAACAACACCAAAAUGUAAAUAUGGCCCAUCUGCUAGCAAGCUAUCCCAACAUAUCAGAACUCUCCUAUGGAUUGACUACAGUUUCUAGACCAGCUAGGAGGACUAGAUUGAUCACAAAUUGUGUAGUGCAUUGCUCCUCCAGUAGUAGUAGCAGUGGUAGCUCAUCAACUGAGGAAGUGGGUUUUGUAGGGAGUGGAAAGUUUGGUAUUGAUAGUACGGGAGAGUUCAAGUACUUGGUGAGUGAAUAUGGUUGGAAGGUCAGGAGUUUGUUUAGAAAUGGAGAUGAGGUAAGGCAGGCAGCUCAAGUUCAAGCUGAAGCAUUUCAUGAACCUGUGUUUCUCUUCAAUGAUUUCUUCUUCCAGUUCUUCCAGGUUUGCUUUGUUAAUUAAUAUCAUUUGGGAUUAUGUUCUUGUUCUUCAUUUUCAGUCAUGAUUUUGUUUAAAAUGAUUGCUGCAGGCUGAAGUGUUAUCCGGGCUUGUAUAUAAACUUCGGAGCUCUCCCCCAAAUAGGUAAAGCACUAAUUUUGGAGAUUGAAAUAUGGGAUCUUGACUUUUUAUAAAUGAAAGUUUGUUCAUUUUGCAUAACAGUUGGGAUCUUGAGCUUACUGCUUACACUGAAAAAUUGUGAUCCUUCAUUUAGUGCAGCAUUUUGAUAUGAUCAACAUAAUGUAACAGGUAUGCCUGUUUGGUAGCAGAGCCUACACUCAUCGACACUUCAGAGUCGCAAGAGCUUGUGGGCGUCGUUGAUCUCACAGCAUCAAGAGACCAGAAUGUACUAGAGCAUCUCCCACCUGAUGCAGAUGAGUAUCUUUAUGUGUCCGGCAUAGCUGUUCUCAAGAGUUUCAGGUUCUAACUGUCCCCAAACACUUGGUUAUGUUCCUCUUGUUUAAAGUUAAGAUAUUUUGACUAGAGGGCAAUGGUUUCUUUCACAGGAGGAAGAAAGUAGCCACUGCUUUACUAAAAGCUUGUGACAUGCUCUCAGCUGAGUGGGGAUUUCAGUAUCUUGCUCUCCGAGCUUAUGAAGACGAUUUUGGUGCCCGGGAGUUGUAUGCAAAUGCCGGUUACCGGGUUGUCUCUGGUGAUCCGCCGUGGAUGAGUACUUGGAUUGGAAGAAAACGCCGUGUUCUUCUGAUCAAACAGAUUCCGACUCGAUAGUUGUGCUUCAAGUUGUUUCAUGCACAUAUUGAGUUCAUUUUCCUCUUUAGGAGGGUUCUGAAGUUUUAUGAUUACCAACUGGCCUAUUUGAGCAACUUCUUCAUUCCUAGUGGGAUAACUGUCUCUCUUAGAAUAGCAAAACCAAUGGUACAAUUCCAAUGAAAACGAACAUGGUUACUUCAUAGAAAGGCAAAUAUACACAACAGCCCACAACCAAAAACUAUAGCUUUUAUUAAGCUUAGAAGUUUGUCCACCCAAAAAUAUAUAAACAGAAGCAAAACAGUACUCUACUUUCUUUUCUUCUUUUUUUUCUUCUUUUCCUAGGAAAAAAAUACAAAUUCGGUAUAUGAACUGUGAGAUCCCGCAGGGUAGGGGAAUGGGUUAGUGUUUGUUCUUUGCGGUGAAACAAUGGCUGUGCAAGUGCAGCAAAAGUGCACACAUAUCAUUUUCGUCCUUCCUACUAAUUCAUGAAUUUCCGGCAGUUGGGAGCUUUACAUAGACAAGGAACUUUGAAUUCAUCAGGCUCAUUUGGAUCAAACAAGUAAUCAUACCUGCCACAACACCAACAAAUACAUUACAAGCAGCUCUCAGAGAAAGAAUGAUGGCGUAAGAAUAGUGAGGGAGAGAGGAGAGAUGUAUACGUUAGCUCAUCAUCAGCAGACACAUUAGUCUUUGCAAUAAGUACAAUCCGACUUUCCUCAUCACCAACACUCAUGAUCCUCGCAUAACAAUUGGGCAUGCACUAUACACAGAACAGUGAGUGUGAGAUCAUAACUGGAAACAACAGGCAAAAAGGGCUUCCUUCUUCAAAAUGACUUACCGAAUGAUUGAUCAGCCGUGCUAUAUUUCCUUUAUCGGUGGCAUCUACUACCACUUCUUCGCUAAUCUUAAAGAGCUGGAGACAAGGGUAAAUAUAAGCCUUCAAAAACAAAACUAAACCAACAUAACUAGAAAUAAUCAUAACGAAAAUAAUUUGAACCACUAGCAAAGAAGGUACUCACGUAGCAAUCUUUGCCUUCGGAUCUAUAGCGCGCCUCCCUCAAAUCUGCUACACUGCCCCUCACCUGUUCCCCACGGUAUUCAAGAACCUGAAAGAGAGACAUGCUUCUUAGUCCAUUGUGUUUUCAAAUGAAUUUAACACGAUCGGCAUCUGUUGCAGACAUAAUGGAAGUUGAUACACUUGACCAAUGUUGCUACAUACCAUUUCUCCUUCCUGAAUGUUUCUGCGUGCAAAGAGACCCCAUCCAUGUAUCCCGGAUCUACCAAAGCAAACACGAUCAUUUUCGGUUCUCUGCAGUCAUACAUACAUCCAAAAUAGUCACAAAAAGAAACAGGGAAGGAAAAAAGGGAUAAGGAAAGCCAAGAAUAUUGAAUGGAUAACAAGGAAAUACUAGCCUGUAAAUGGUAAAGCCGUUCUCUAAAAGAUGAAAAAGUUAGAGGUUCCUCUACUACCUGUUAAAGAAGAAAACAUGUCAUCUAGAGUUAGACAUCCUCCAUGAAAUGAAUGAAAACAAACAUAUAUACCAUCCAAUACAGAAAAGGGAAAUAAAUUACUCUGAAUUUGUUCAAACUUCGAAUUGCUUCCAAGGGAUGAUGGGAAUGUCCCAUCACUUGGUGAGCAACAGCUUCUUCUUCUGUUCUCUAGCCAUCAGAAAAAGUAACAGUGAGAAAAGAUAGCUAAUAUCUAUUAAAUUUGAAUAGUCUGCACACUGAUCCACCCCAUUAUGUCAUCCAUUUGUCAUCCCGAUCGAUAUUAUAUUCCAUAAUAAGUUUAUAAAAUUCAACACUUCCCCAACACCUGAAAAUUCUUCAAGCCAUAAGCUGGCUGAAAUUUCAAUUUCAAGUUUUACCCAAUUUUAUAUAAGCAAUAUCAAUGUACGUGCAUAGUGACAGUAUCAUAAUUCGGGAAGGCAAAGAUCAUAGUAGAAUACCUUUCUACUAUCUUUCAAUCUUUUAAAUAUUCGGCACCUUGCAGAACAUAAUGGCUCAGGUUCAGGUUCAGUGGUUUCAACAGUUGGAACCUCUUCCAACUUUAUUCUAUUAGAUGAAAUUAGCCUUGAACCAGGCUUCUUCUUAGUUUGGAGAAGGCUUUUGGCUGAAAACACUCCUAGAGGAGUCUGUAUAAUUAAGACCGUAUCUGGAUUUGGAGCCCUGCAACAAACAAACUAUAGCUUGUGAAGGACAAAAUGAGGAAUAAAAUGACAAGAAUUCAGAGGCAUUGAUAAUAACAAUAAUAAUAAAUAAAUAAAUCUGAGAGAAAAGAGGGUCAAGGGAAUGACUAUCCAUACCUGUGAUAAGCGCAGUAGGAAACCAUUUUCGUAAUCUGUUUCCCAUUUUUCUCUAGAGAGUGCAACUGCAUAGAAAGAAUGCAGUUAUUAGCAAUAUUGUAAACGAGGAUAAGGAACAAGCCAACUAAAAGUAAAGAUGCAACAACUUUAGAAACCAGAACAAACUGACAAUAUAUGAACUUAGUAAGAAACAUUCUUCCUCAUGCAUCAAAAGUACAGAGCAAUAACGAAAACACAAAAAACAAUAAGAAUCUAACCUCCAUGCGGUACCCUGCUCUGGAUGCACACAUGGCAUGGUAAUAAGUGGAGCACCUGCUACAUUGCGUGCAUGAACCAUGGAUUUGCUUACAGAUAACACAAAUCUGAAACAAAGGUGGCAAAAGAAAGCCGUUGAUUAGUAUUCAACUAAGAUAACAAUGAAAAUGACAAAGAACAAUCAAGAUAAAUGGCUGCAUUCUGGAUCAUUUAUAGACCUAUUAACCCAAAACACAUCUACUCUUUUAGUUCAAUGUAUAUUGCCUAGGUUACUAUCCAUCAGUGUGGUGCAAAAUUGUUUUCUUUUACUGAAAAAUUUACUUCGCAUGUAAAGGAUUAGUGUCAUGUUGUUACAGUAUCAUAUUCAUGCGCUCAAAAGUCAAUUUCAAUGUAUUUAUAGUGACAUAUAUCAUAAAAGAUGUAUACAAGAACAAAUGAUCCACCUUAACAAAAGAAUUAGAUGGAAUACUCAAGAUCCCAAGAGCAGGCUCCAUCUUCUCAUCACUUGCGAAUGACACUUCAGGUCUAAACCAAGCGCAAGUAAUAUGAACCCACAAUGUCUCGAUAUCCGUUGGCUUUAAAGCACCUCCUGUGGGCCAACAGCAUGAAGCAAACCAGAUCAGAAAAUGACAUCACUAUAGCAAACUAAAACUUCAUAAACAUAGAACUCAACAAAUUCACUCUGGGAAGAAAAAAAAUUGCCUUUAACAGGACAGAGGCAACAUUCUCGCUUGAAUUCUGGUUUCUCACAUGCUUUGCACACCCAUGAAGUGAAAUCUCGGACAUGUCUUGCUCCAUAGCAUUCUUGAUGAACGGCUAUUUGACAUCUGAUUGAAAUACAAAGCAUUAAAUAUUUGCCUUUGUAACAGUUGCUUGUCAGCCAUCAUGAUAUAAUGAACAUCACCAUGUUGUCAAUACCUGUUGCAUAUGAUGAUUUUGUUGUAGUCCCAAUCUUCAACCCAUCUACAUACAGCACAUCGUUCUGUUGUCCACUUCGCAUAAACCGGUUCAUACUUUUCUGUCAUAGCAACCAGGGAAAUGCAAUUAGUUUACAUCUCCCCACCUGCUUAUUGAAAAGUACAUUCAUAUGCCCACAAGUGCAAAAGAAAAAUACCUUGCAAAAAAGUAAGCAGCUUCUGCUUCCGUUCUUUUAUAGAAGGUCGUUUAGGAGGUUUAACAGACACAAGAGCAUUUUCAUGAAACUCUGCUAGCUGAAGCAUCUGCAAAGUCAAUUAAGAACAUUUGAUGUCCGUGAGAGACCAUCGGCAUACUACUAGACAAGUUAAAAUAAAAAAAUUAUAUAUAUCAUAUAUAUCUGAAAGUAUAGUACGGACCCAUUGUUCCAGUGCCAGUAAGGAGCCUUUAACUCUGACACUGGUCCUCCAAUUUCUGGACUUGGAACCUGUGUGUCGCUCCCAUUCACUAAGUGCUUGCUUUUCUGUCCCGCAGUACCCACACUUGCACACAACACUGACACAUAAGAGAAAAUGGAUAUGAACGAAUUACUUCCAAAAUCUUAUGUCACAGUGAUCGGUAAAUGAUCUGCCUCAUAAGGUGAGAAAAGACAAGAAAAGAAUAAACAUUAUGAAAACACAAGACUAACAACAACAUAACUUUUCAAGAUAGAGUUAAAAACCAAAGGAGAAGCCAAUCUUAUGCUUACGAGUGAAGACUUGGAAAAUAAAUGCCUUCCACACCGUUACAGAGAACAGUAACCUUGUUAGGCAGCACCAGUUGUGCCUCAUUUUUAUUAGAUCUGCACCAGAUAUUCAUAAUCGUCAGGGACUAGGGAUGAUAAAUUAAUUCAUAAAAUAACUAACAACAGAACAUUGCUAUGAACGAAUUACAUUAACACAAUUCAUAGACUCAUAGACUUACUUGACUUUUGGUUGCUCCUUUUCAGAAUCUGACAAUUCGAAGUUAAACUUUACUUUGCAAGGAGGACAGAAAUAAUCAGUGAUGCCCCCCAAAUUCUGCAAAAAAGAAAUAACAAAGUCAGCGAAAUCUAAAAUCUCUUCAUAUCAUUAUGCAAACUGAUUGAAAAAAAUAAAUAAAAGAAAAUAUGAUAUUAGGUAUGGUGUAUGGACCUUAAAAUAAUUGGUGUUAAUUCUAUCACAUUCUGCAUGCACCCAUACUCGGCAACCAUCACACCGGACCUGCUCCGAAGUAAAGUUCAACAGAAUUAAUAAGAAACACCAGUUCUAACACAUAGUAUAAUAUUCACCCACCCUAUCAUUAGUUAAAGGUUACUCACCCAACUUCCACUUUCAGAAUGAUUCCACUUCUUGCAUAUGCCACAAAUAUGUUUCGGUUUUGUUAACUGCCAAAAAGAAAAAGGUCAUGAUAUAUGAACAAUUUACAAGCCAGAAUGCAGGAGACUUAAAAAACAUAAAAAAAUAAAAAUAAAUCAAAACUAACAUAAGAAUACCCAAAAUAGGCAGGUUGUUAAAAGCUACCUUUGCACAUGAUUUACAAAGGAAAUGACCUCCAGAAGUUGGAACCUUCAGUUUCUUUGGCAGUUUGAGGUCCGAGCCGCAGCCUUCGCAGGCUCUUGUAUAUUUAUUCUUCCUAUAGAUGUCCUGCUUGGAGAUAAAUAAAAAAUUCAAUGACAAUUGGCCUUCUAAGGUGUAGAUAUAACUUUUAUGAUUAUAUUACAGAGAAAACCAAUGUAGUUUGCAUGUCUCAUUUUUGAAUUCCUUAGUAAAAGGAACGGUUCUGCUACAUUCUCAAUAACAAAGCAAAGAGUAGGCAAAGGUCCAUUAAACCCAGUUCUGCAAUUCAUUUCAAUCAUAUUUUCGAGCAUGUUUGAGCAAUUCUGCAGUCAUUACUAUGUUUUAGUAAUUACACAACACUAAGACGGAGAUAAAAAAACGUACUCUUUGAAAAAAAGUGAUCUUAGGAGAACUUGCCUGGUCAACAAACUGAUAGUCCAGAUCAUGAUUGGAACCAGUAGCCUCUUGAACUCCUCUAGGUAGAGAUUCAUCAUACACUGGGUUCCCAGCUGCCAUGUUUAUAUCUGCUAACAACUUCUCUGUAAAUCCUUGUUCCACCAAAAAUGCCUCCUCAGUUGCCAUCUGGAAAUCACAAGGCUUGCAGUUUCCUAGUUCAGACUGCUCUUGAAACCUAUAUCAUGCAAAAAUACUACUUAACCACAACGGGAUUACUGAAUUGCACUUUAAAUGCUUAUUCAAACCGCAACAACCACAAACCUGCCUAUAUAAUCCAUAAACGGAAAAAGCGAUCCCCUUUUAACCCAGGCAUAAUCCUGCUCAAGAUCACAUAAACCACCAUAAUAUUAAAUAACCACACUCUCCUAAACAUUAAAUAACACCAAACCAUAAAUAGUAAACUCCAUAUAGAGAAAUAAUCCAUACCCUUUGGUUCUCAUUCCCAGAGUACCCGAAAAACAUGACACAGGCUGCAUCAGGUAUGCAAGCCCUCAGAACCAACUCCGGCGCUUGCGUCAUUGGAUCAAUAACAAUGGCAGGCCAGAAGGGCUCCUUCUUCCCCGGCUUUGCCCACACUAUAUCACCGGAAUAAAAGUCUUCUGGUCCAUACAACCCGUCUUUCCUCUGCUUCGAAAUCCUCACUGCCUCCUCUACAUCAUCUUCAUGUUCAUCGACAAUCUCCACAACCGAACACCUGCCAUUUCCAACCAAAUGCUCAUGCACUGAAGUGAGUGUACUACGCGAGCCGGAGUUAUACUUCCUCAUGUUAUAACUCUUAUACGGCAUAUACCCUUCUUCCUCUUCUUCCUCUUCUUCCACUUCUUCUUCUUCUUCUUCUUCUUCCUCCUCCUCCUCCUCCUCCUCUUCUUCUUCAUCUUCACACAAACCCGAAUACUUCUUUGAACCAUACCCAAUCCUCUCAGCAUUACUCCUUACCUUCUUCCCAUUCUUCUGGGGCUUCAAGCUCGGCUUCUCAUCUUCCACAUUAUCACGCACAUUACUCUUGCUCUCUUUCUUCCAAUUCUCAAUAACCGAGUCAUUAAACCUCGACGGCAGUACCUGAACUCGUCCCCUCGAAGUCCUCACCAGCGGCGGCCUCGACACCUCCGCCGCCUUGGCUUUUGCAGACUUACCAGCCUUCGAUUUCGACUCCACCACCGCCUCCUCCUCCUCCUCCUCCGGAGGCGGCGGCGAGCACGACACUUCCGUGCACCACGAAAACCCACCCUUCUCCGCCCCAAGCAAGCCCCGAAAACUCACCGGAAUAAUCCCGGCGGCGACCUCACCGAGCAAAUUGAGCGGGUAAUACCCGUUGGUCUUCCUCUUCUUCCUCCCCGAGCUCUCUUCCUCCUCGGAAUCGCCCAAUUUGCACCGCUUCAGACUCGGCAUUUGCGAUUUCAGAUUCUUCUUGAUUAUCAUCCUCCUCGAAAACAAAAAACCUAGAUUAUCACAUCCGCAUAAUACCCACUCAACCUCCUCCUUCGAGAAAUUAACCUUAAAAAACCCAACCUCGGCUGUAAACCCUAAUCCCCAAAUUGGAUUGCCGAAAACAGAGCCAAUUCAAUUCACCAAACUCCGUCCUCCCCGGAAUUUCUCUCCCGCAAAAUUGACUCAACGGAACAAAAAGGGAGUGAUUGGAAGAUACAAAUCGACACAACAGGGAAAUAGGGAUCUAUCUAUUUCGGGAAGCUUCCAACUGCUGCAGAGAGAAUGAGAGAGAAAUGGAAUACAAAAGAUUACAAUGCGAAUUGCAAUGCAAAUUGUGUAGAAAGCCCAGAGAGACAGAGAGAAAGAAAAGAUAAUACUCGAGGAAAAUUGCGAGUCUUUCUUCGAUAUUGUCUCUCUGUUUUUUUCGUCUUUUUAUUUUAGAGAGAGAGAGUGAGGAGAGAGAGAGAGAGAAGGGUCGGCGUUAUCUUGCAAAAGUGUGUGUUUUUAGAGAGAGAGAAGAGUGAGGUGAGAUGUGUGUGAGUUACUAACGUGCGCCUUACGUGUUUAGAGCACAAUUCUUCAGAGCAAUGGUGGUCAUGGCCAAUCUUUGGGUUUGUUUUUUUGAAUUUAUACAAUUUUCGUGUAGUUACUUAUUUUCGAUGGCCAUUUUGGGUUUGCCAUGGUUGUUGUAGCAGAGUUUGUUCCACGAAAGUUGGAAACUUUGAGCUACUACAAUGCCAGUGUCCGUUUUCGGUUUCGAAAUCCGAUUUGGGUCGUGGGAUUCGAUAAAGGGUUUAAAAUUCGUGCACGUAGAAAUGAUUUUGGUAACCAAAGUUUGGUCGAUUUGUAAUGGGAAAUGAUCGUUUUUGAAAGCUGCAAGUUCUUGGCUGAAGGUAGCGGCAGUUUGAUAUAUUGAGACUGAAAUUGUUUCACAAUUUUUUUCAUUUUUUUGGGUUGGAGAAGUAUGAGCAAGUUGAAAGAUGAAAAUUUUAAUGGGUUUGAUUCAUGGACUGUUGUAGAUAAAUUUUCUGUAAAUUUGGUGGUCGUCGGAGAUAUAGGGGCGGCAGAAUUUCGAAAAUUCUUCAACUUUAUGAUUUUAUUUUUUUCUUUUUGUUUUCCAUUUCGUUAUGUUUUCUACAUAGUCAUGAGUCAUGACUGAUGAAUCAAGAUUAAGAAGGAUAGGGUUUUGAGGUACGAAAUCUGAGAAUCUUCACGGGAGUGAAAAGCACGAAAUUUUCCCACCAAUUAUUUUGGGUACAUCUUUGAAGUUGGGGUUGCUCUGUUAACAGGAGAGAAUACUGUUACCGUUUAUAUCUGUCUUAAUCAUGUAAACUAUUUCGUUCUAAUUUGCUUUUGGUUGUUGGACCAACUAAUCUAUGAUCUAAUCUAGUUGACUAAAACAAUAUGGAAGAUUUAGUGAUGCUCUGUGUUUGUGAGCAUGACGAUCUCACAUCUCUUCGAUUUUCAUGGUUUUUGUCAAAAGGGUUGGUUUGGUGCUCUGUUUCUGAUAUUGAAGAAGGGGCAUGGCCUUGACCUCUAGUUUGAAGUAUUGGUGGGUGUUAGAGGUCGGUAAGUGGGUUUAGAAAAAUGAACAGAGUCCGGCGUCUUUGGAUUUUGGUCGUGUAGACAAGAAGUAGUGCAAUUUUUUAUUUAGAGAAAGCAAAAGCUAUAUAAUGAUGAAUCACGGCAGACCUUAAUUUGGAAUAGCAAGUUGGAUCAUGAGGAAGAGUUGUGUCUGAUACUCCUAUUCUUCUGUUUAUAAUAUGUUGAAGCUUUAGAAGAAGAGUUGAAACUUGGAAAGGUCAACCGGUAGAUGUAGCAGAAGAAAAUGAAGAAUCAAAUACAAAGUUGUAAUCUGGGUCAGCUUGAGCUAUGCAUGAGUGUACACACACUGUAUAUAGGUGGCUGACUGGGCACGGUGUUAUUAAUAAGAGAAAGAUGGUGGUGCUGAGCUUCUUCCAAAAAUGUUGGAAUUCUGUUAAGUUUCCCUUUUUGGUAAUGUUGGUUGUACUAGAGUUUGGCACUACCCAAGGUUGGUUUGGCUUAUGUUAGUCUUAGCUCGUGCCCAUGUUUUGCUCGCAGUGCCCAUGUUUUGCUCGCACUUAUUGUCUCUGAGGAGCUUACAUGCAUUUGGGUCUGGAAGGAGCUGCUUUUUCAGAACAAAUGAGCUUUCUGAUAGAAGAGAGACAGAGAAGAAGAGGGAGAUCGAUCAGAGAAACGUACUAUGCUACUUAGAAGAUGGUGUUUAGGGAAUGAUGAUAUGGGACCCAAAAUCUCAGAGCUAGUCUUUAAGUUUCUGAGAGCACAAAAUGAGAGGAGGAGCAAGCUUUCCAUUUCCCUUGGGAUUUGGUGCAUUCUUUGUGGUUUCUGAGCAAAAGGCUUGCAAUCUGGCACUCGCAGAAUGCAAACAGAAACAGAUUGUACUUUGUUGCAUGUAUGGAAAUCUUUACAACAAAACAAUAUCUGCAUAAGUUUGGAGCAUGUGAAAAAGAGAAGGUGGUUCAAAAAUUCAGAAAAGAAAAUAAGAACAACCUGUGAUCUGAAACUUCAGACUUCAGAGCAACAUUUUGCACAUCCUCCGGCGUCAGGCAAAACUACCGGCAGGUCCAAAACAACAAAAACGGCCCACUUUAUGGGUAACCGGCUAUCCGCAUAUGGCCCAAAGACCUGGUUAUCCCAAACUGAUUUCUACUACCAAAAAAACAAAAAACAAGUAGUUGCACUUGAUCAGUCUGUGUGCUAAAAUCUUGUGUUCAUAGUUGAACUGCAGAGCUUCCAUUAUACCAAGUCUUAGCAGAUAUAUGUUACUCCUUUGUACCAUACUGACCGAGUUGUAUGCUCAGGGAAGUAAAAGUAGUAACCUUCCUUUUAAGUUUUGUCUUUCAAUUUCAGCGAAAACCAGAUGUCAUAAUAACAUCAUUCAAAAGAGGUUAAAACUUAAAACAACCCUUGAAAUAAACACAUCUCUACAGACUCUACUUCAAGAAAGCAAUUCAUGGAUACACAGUGAGAAACCAUAAGAUUUUCCUUCAUACCAUAAUAUGAACAAGUACAACUAGUUUUUGCUUCCCCAGUUUAUUUAACAUACCCUAUUUACAUCCGAAACUGGCGAUGCAGGGUCUAGAGUAGAGAGAAGAAGGUUAUUACAGCGAGAAAAGGAUGAAAUAUGAAGCAAGAUUUUGGUGGGGGGAGGAGGGGGCUGGUUUAUUGAGCGCCUAAACUGAGUCCAAGUCUACUACAUCAUGCCAGGCUUAAUACCACUACUGAUCUCUUCCAUAUUACAUCAUCGGAACCUAGCAACUACUUCAUUCCUACAUUCUUAGUAAUGCAUAAUAAGUCAUCAGUCAUUGCCUCUUGGCAUAAGUGGUUUCUUCAGUCUUUGCAAACCUUCCACGGAUCCUCGGCUGGUUGUCUGCAAGAGCCUUCCUGCAGGCAUACUGAAAGAAAAGCAUUUCAUUAGUUUCUAACCUUCAAAACAGGAUCAGCUUAAGCCCAAGUGGUGAAAACAGUAGUUCAAGGAAAGCUAGUAGAUCUGAAACUUAAGAAUGCUGUUCCACCAAUUCGAGCAUCAAAAGUCAUGCAUAUUCUGACAGACAUGAAUCUCGGCUUUUGAAAUGGUCCCCCCAUGUAACUCUGGGAUGGCAGCCGCAGUUGGUCAUGGUUACAGCAGCAAGCAUAUUGCAGCAUUAAGAAUUUAAGCCACUAUUGGCAAAGCAUCCAUGUAUAUUUAUAGAUCAAAAGCCCCAGGGAAGUAUACAAAGAUUAAUAUACUUAAUCCUCACAAAGAACCCAACGAAUAUCCGAUGAAAAGACAUGUAACAUAACAAACCGAUAAUGCUUGAUUACUAUGCCGGCCAUCAAAUAUUAUAAUAGUAGUGUGAACAAUCUGUAUAAAGCAUGCAUAAGACAAAUGCCGUUUUUGUUUGUGUAUGGCUAUGCAGUCCUGAAUCUUGACUAUAUCUUGAGGUGAUUAGUUUCUGUAUAACGUAUUUAUUAAAUAUAAUAUAAGAGAAGCACUACAGAUCAGGAUUUACCUUGAUUUUCCUUCCAAAGUUCCUCUUUGUCUUCUUGUUCCUGUAUCUUGAAAGCUUUUCCUUGCGUUCCUCAGUGGUGCAGUUGGUGAUGAUAAUUGACCGCUCAAGAGGAGGAUGGACGAGGCUUAUGUUACCGCUACUAAGAGUCUGUCAUAAAAACUCAGUAUCAAUGACCCAGCCCCAUCCUGUGAAAAUGGCCAGACAUGUCUAAACAUUUCUCAGACUUUGGUACAAAGUCAAAAUUGCGCAGAGCUUGAUUGCAAAUAAAUGAUAUGAUCGAUGCAUAUAUAGGAAGUGCUCAGAGAUCCUAUCUCUGAAAUGAUUCCCUAAUUUCUAGACAUCAGUUGCACAUGCAUUAAUCUACAGGUGGUCCACUGGGAGGAAGGGGUUUUCAAUAGACUGAAUAGGCAGUCUAAAUGCUAUAUAACAAGGAUUUAGUUAUAUUUUGGCAAGAGAUUCACAGAUUUCAAAUGGUCAUUAAGAUACCGGUGUCUCCUUUAAUCAUAUUAUGCCUUUUCAUUAAUUUAUAACCUCUUCUAUACCCAAUCUCUGUGUUGUAGAUAAGUGCUGUCUUGACUUUGUAUGAAGUGAUAUAUUUUGAAUCUCCUAAUUAUGAAAAGAAAAUAGCAACUAAACUAACUAUAUCUGACCUUAAUAUCUCCUUCACUAAAUGCCCUCCGAAUCCUAUACGCAGCAGCAAGAUCCAUUCCAGGUAAAUCCAUAAAAUUAGGCUUCGUUGAAGCUCCUUGCAUCCACUCCAUUGAGCUUAGACAACCUGAGCUGCCACUUUUCUGGAAUUGUAUGUCACGAAGUGGUUUGUCUUCUUGAACUUGAUUUCCAUCUGUUCCCAAAUCAGGAAUUUUGAUAUCAAGAACCUCAGAAAGUGGUGUUUCUGUUGGAUCCUUUUCUAGGAUAUCCUUGUCAUAGAAAACAUCAUCCAAUAGCUGUUCACUUUGAAGUGAUUCAAUGUCUGCAGCCUUGAGUCCUUGAGAGGAGAUGACAUCUUCCCCACAAGACAUCAUUGAUGUGGCUGUCAUGAUAUCAAGGCCAAGAACUGGUUCUUCAAUGAUAGGCUCCGGAGCUUUAAAAAGAUCCCAAUCCUCUCCCAGGUCGUACUCUGAUAUCAUGGAGGCCUCAACAAGGUUAUUCUGCCAUAGACAAAGUACAAUCAAAAUUAGAAAACCUAUACCACGAUUCACCGGAACCUUCAGGAGAUGAUAUAAGUCUCAUUCAGGAGAUGUAAAGUCAAUCAGUGUUCAUAAAGUUUAACUUUCAUUCCUAUUAGACAAAUGGUAGUACCUAGAUGUGAACUAGCAACUGCUGUUGGAAGUAUUAGCAUUCACUAAAAGGCUACAAGAACAAACAGAAAGCAUACGACUUUGAAAUUUGAAGGUCAUAUAUACGAUCCUUACUAAUGCAGAUUGAGUUGAGGACUAACAUAUUGGUCGGCCAUCUAGUAAAAACAUUGCAGAUAGCAGUGCAUAAAAUUCAGAUGAACAAGUGGACAAGUGAUACAGUACUAGGCCUUAAUGAAAUUGCUAAUGCCAAAGAUAUGAUAUGAAUUCCUCUCCAAAAGUGCAGUUUUAACAUCAAAAGUAAAAUCAAUGAGGACCAAGAAGAUGAACACUUUUUACCUUUCCUCUACCCUUUUCUCACUCAAAAGCAUAAAACAACUUGCAUCUUUUCCUCGUUAGCAUUAGUGUGAAUAUGGUGACAAAGCUAAAUUUCCAACUACAAAACUAGACACUAUACCAGAGAAAAAACAGAGAAAUUGUAGAACACGGAAGUAUGAAAACGUCUCCAACUAAACAACUUCCCCUUUUAUCCUUUUCCAGAUCCAGCUCAUAAAGCUAGCUCCAGCUGUUUACCAUGCAUGCCCUGAGCAAAUAAAGCCAACAAAAAGAUCGAAAUUUCUUUUCUUUUUCCUUUUCGAUUUUGAAGAAACCCAGAUACUGUAAAAUUAAAACACUUUUACAGUGUUUUGGAUUCAGAAAAAUGGAGAGAAUCCCUUCCUCCAUGGACUACAGCUGGAGAGAAACAUAGAUAAGAUAAAUUCUCUCCAGAAGAAUAAAUAUUUGGAAACAAAAAUAAGACUUCAGUGUUCUUCAAUUGUCAAACAUCUCAAAUUCACCAUCACUAUAGACUUUUUCACCGUUUCUUUUCCCUAACUCAAAUUCUCAAAAACAAGGCAACUACUUUCCCAAAAUUUUACAUUUUUUCAUUCUUUUUUCCAGCAACCAAACCAACAGCACAAGGAUUGUCAAAAGAUUAUGUUUUUGUAAAAAGAAAGACAAUGAAUAUAUGAAGAAUCCCAUUUUCUCAAGAAACAAACAGAGGCUUUCAGUGUUGUUUAUCAGAUUAUACACUUACACACCAAGACCAAAGUUCACAACUUUCUACUGAAUCAGUCCAAACCCAUCUCAGAAACAAUCAAAUCAAUGCAGAUCAAGCUAAAUCCACAAGAAAAUUGAAGGCAAAUAUCACAAAUUCAUGAAAAUUAACAACACAUGCGUUCAAAGAGAAAGAGGGUUACCAUUGAAACAUUGAACUUCUGGUUUCUACAGAACUCCUCCAACUGCUGAAAGUCUUGAGGGGUGUUCUGGAAAUAAGGGAACAAGAGCCCAGUCUCUGCAUACAUUCUCUAAAACCCACAAUCUUCUCUCUUUGAAAAGUCACAAGCUUUGAAACAGAGAAACCUGAUAAAAUAUCUCCUCCUUCCCAAAACCCAAGACAAAGCAAAAGGCAAGAGUAACAGAGACACACUGAAACUGAGUAGCCAAAUUGCAAGGGGUUGUUUUAGGUUUUUGUGACUUUGAGCUACUGGGAGAGAGAAUUUAUAUGAGUAAUAAUGAGUGGGAGUAGUAUUCAGAAAUAUUGGGUGUGAUGAUGAUAUCAUAUAAUGAGGACAAAGUAGGGAAAAAGACACAAUCAUUUUUCUAAUGUACUGUCCCCAUGUCAAUUAUCAUGCUCCCUUUUUUAUAUAUUACUUUAUCAUUUUUAUUGGUUUUUGGUUGUGAUUUGUGAAAUAUACUCAUUAUUGUAUUGCAAUUUGUAUAAGUGAGAUGAGUUGCAUCAGCUAAAAUAUGUGGACAUGUUUGUGGGCUGCACUGUGUCACUGGCCACUGUCACUGUGGUCAUCAAUCUACACUUUCAAGUUCAAUGCAUUUUGGAUUUUACUGUAAGAUAGUUUCCCAUCUUCUUGUUUAGGCUUGCAGCCUCUGUAACUUUUAAGGUUCACUGGGGGUCAGUUAGCUUAGAACAAAGUUAUCACAGUAAGGUAUGGGUGCUUGUACCCCAGCCAUUAGCUUCUAUAAUCAACAGUGAGUGCAAAGGGAAAAAUAUGGAUUCAGAGAUAUUUUCACCUUGAUCAACAAUCACAUGUUGGCCGACAGUACAGUUUCAACCUUUUGUUCACAUAUAUUGUACAGUCAAAUUCUAGGAAGUUCUUUUUCAUUUCUUGGCAAAUUUAUCAGUUUUUCACUAUAUAUAUGACAUAAAAAUCACAUUUGCUGUAUUUUGAAGAUUGAGCAUCCCAUCAAAUUAAUAAAUCACGUUUGAACCUGAUAUCUUAAAAUAAUGUCAUGGAAGAUGAUUCAAUGAGUAAUUAUAGUCGAAAGAUUUUCUCAAUAACAUUUAGUAUCUAUAUGAUGAGAAGUGUCGCAUAUCUGACUAGUUUUGCCUAUAAUAUUUGACAUUUGAGCUAGACGUGUUAGGACAUAAUAACCUCACAAUGCAUGGAAUAGUUUUUGUUACAAGACAACCUAUAAAUAUUGCUUGAGUUAUUAAUCAAGGGGGUGAUUCAUGGUGGCGUUGAAAGAUUAUGGAAGGAGACAAAGAACUCGUGUUUUAUAUAUGCAGACUGGAUAGGAACUAGAGUGGCAUAAGAAAAUGUAGAGGUCAUAAGCAAACCGUGUUAAUAGGUCUUAAUUUUGACCUUAGUAACUCUUUUGUUCUUCACUAAGAGAAUGUUACUUUCAAGCUUAGCUAGCAGGACGUUUCCAGAACGUUUCAAAAAUAAAAGUAUAAAACGUGACCUUUGAUAAUACUGAAAGCAGCAGUCUCCAAAUCCAAUGUUUGUUCUUCUUCUUCUUCUUCUUUUUCUCUUUGUUUCACUGGAAUACAUAUUUAGAUACCUGGAAAAUAAUAAUAAUAAUUAGCUGUAAAACUAAAAGUUAUAAGGAUAUAUAGAUUCUGUCCAGCAAUUUGAUCAAAAAUAUUCAAAUUCUCUUUUGAGAUGGUGACCUCUACUCGUCCACAUUGCAAUUUGGAAUUACUGGAGGAAAAAUAUGGUUAAAUGUCAACCCGGCCAACUUUAGUCCCUUUCUCAAACUCAAGCAUAUAAAUAGAAUCAGUCUUACAUAAAACGAAAUGCAUAAAUGAGAAAAAGAGUGACCAACUCAAAGUAAACCAUAAGAUAUACGUUCACUUUGAUUUUGUGGGCAAAAGGAAGCAAUCAGCACUACUGGUAACUUGUGAGAGUUCAUGCUAAUCUCAUCCUAAUUAUCUAUUUAGCUACAACUUUAUCAAAGUCGUGUGGCUUUUUAUUCUGAUACAAAAAAACUUUCAUUAGAAACAAACAGAAGAAAGAAAAUUGAAAAGGAAGAAUGAAUAACGCGUAGGUAUAAGAUUCUCAGCCGGACUGUAUGAAGUAACAGGUUUAAAUAUCAAGGAAGAAAGAGCGCUCAUCAUUCUUGAUGAUUUUGGGUUUGAUUAUGAUAAUAUAUAUUUAAGCCAAAUGGAAGCAAACAGCUAAGAAUUAUGACAUAAUGUUAGGUAAUAUAUAAACACAGAAUCAAGAGGAAAAGGAUGAGCAGAGAUCCGAGACCACAAUUAUAUAUAGCAGGAGAUGAUUGUUGUACGUACUACGUAGUUGUAUCUAACUGGACUUGAAGUAUAUAUACACAUUAGUUUUAUAAAAGGAAGAGUGAAAGCGAAACCUAAUCAAGUAAUCAUGAAAACAUGAAUCUUCGCUAUGGCUUGCACACGAAACUCCACUAAGAGGUUUCGUUUUCAGACGCAUAGUUUAAAUAUGAGCAAGUCAAAUAGCUUUCAUCGAGUUCGAAAAGAAAAUUCCAUGCCACAAAAAUGGAGUUUGGCUGUAAAGAAUAUAUAGCAAUUAAAAGUGAUCGAGCAGCAGCUAGAAAAAGGGGUUAAAAAAAGUUUGGAGCUUCAACCAAUCAAAGGGUCGCAAAGAAGAGUGGAGCAUAUGCGCUAACCCUUCUUUAUCGAGAAAUGAGGAGCAAGGAAUGUACACGGCAGCGAGUUCAUGAAAACCUUAAUAUUCCACAUUUGGAAUGAUAGAAAAAAGAAAAUGUAAAAGGGAGGCUUAGCUCUACAAAGAACCUAAACCAGACGAAUCAUUUCCUUCCAUUUGGUGCAUUCAGAUCGGCGCACUUGGCAGCAGAAAUUUUGGUGGUGAACUUUAGCAGACAAAGAAUGAAAUAAUGUCUUGUAGCUUUGCCAGUGAUUAUGGGAAAUGAUUGUAAAGCUGCACUUCAGCUAGAACAUUCAUAUUGGGGAUUGGGAAUGUGUAUCCCUUUUACACUUUCUUUUCUUUGGAUGAUUAGUGUGUCAAAUUAGGUAUGUGUUUCCAGGAUCAUGGUUUAUGAUGAGAAAGCUAGCUAGGGUUUGAUAAUGAACACAGAAUUAUGCAGCACUGGGUUGACCUGAGAGGAAUAUACUACUGAUAUGAUGAAGAGGAGGUGAACUGGACUUGGUCAUUUGCAGGAUUAAUUAGCAUCUUAUUAGUUAAUCACUUUUGAUCAUGACUUUGCUUUGUUUUGUUCCUUUCCUAAAUCUGUAUAUAUAUUAAGAGGUGCUCUUCGCAUCUAGUACUUUGGCCGGGGAGGUUGAGUGGGAUUAAAACAUAGCCGGGGUGGUAUUAUUACAAACUAGAACAGGUUAAAUGUGAAAGAGAUGGGGUUCUUGUUAUUACACAGCUAGCUAGCUGGUGAGGAUCGUCUAGUAGUGCUUUUUGUCCAAUUCUAAUUCCAGAAGAACGAAUUGCAAUUGGAAUUGCUUUGGUGGUUGAUCUAUCAAGGGGACGUCGUCUCACUUUAAGGCACUUUUUGGAUUCUUUUGGAUGUAAAACCUGAAGUGAUGUUUCUGUUUUUGUAUGACUAUAUGCAGUAUGCAUGUAUGAGAAAACAUAAAGAAAAAAGGAAAAGAUCAAAGCGACUAGUGCUAUAUGCACUUUUAUUAUUUAGGGCUAUGCAUAUAUACGCUUUUUUGCCCCAUAUACUAGGCUAGGGUGUACCAGUAUUCGUAGUUAUGUAUAUGCACAUAUGUGUCAUAAUCAGUUGUCAUUAUUAGUCUAUAUCUUAUAAUCAAUCAAGGACAAAAAAAAAUUAUUAAUAAUUCACACACCCUACAUAUGUCUAAUGAGGUUUGAUCACAUGACUUUAAAGUUGUUAGUCAGACACUUUAACCAACCAAGCCACGGCUCACCGACACUUUAAUUGAUGAUUUGAUGUGAAGGUAGACAAUACAUUUCUUCACGUAAACAAACUUUGUAGGUCGAGAGGAUCAAAUAGAGUUACUUUAAAAAAAUUACAAAAUAGAAAGAGAGAAGAACGUAGCAAGUCAUAAACUUCUUAACGUACAAUCUGCUACCUACCUUGAUCCGUAUACACGUGUUCUACAACAUAUACAUACUUAAGAAAAUGUAGCAACUAUUCUACAACAUAAACUUCUUAACGUACGUACUGCAAUAUAUUGGAGUAUUUGGACAUAUACUUUGCAUUUUAUUCUGUUUUGAUUGGUAUGUACGUGCAGUUUAGUGAGUCCAUAAACAAUCUGAUGAUCUGGAUUACAAGUUGAACAUAUAUUUAAACUAGCAACUAACAUCAGGUAGAUGAGAAUGAUAUCAGAAAUUUAGACUUGGGAUGUAUAAAAUAAUACAGAUUAAAUUCGUAUAUAUGUGCAGUGUGACUGAGUUUUCACAUAGUUAAUCAGUACUAGUAAAUGUGUCCAACUGUACAUCAUUGUCAUAUAUACAACUAUAUAUGGAAAAUUUAUGAUAUUGGUAGAAAAAACUUGAUAAUACUGGUAGGGAUAGUGAUCAUCGUCCAAUACAAGAAUAAGUGACUCAGUGGAGAAACAAAAGUUAGGUGAAAUGAGCCAUCAGGUUUCGACGUCCUUUUUAUUCUAUCAUAUACUUCUGUUUUCAAAGAGAUUUUUCAUUUUUCAGAUUAAUUUCACCAAAAGAUCUUGAAAUUGCCAGGUAAAAUUCACUAAGAAAAAAUACUGAUUUAUUUUACAGGUCCUUCCAUCAUUAUAACAGACUCGAGUACUGUAUCAGAAGAAUUACAGAGAAGAUUGGUAAAUACGUUUUUGUUAUGAUUAAUUAGCUCAUAGUUUGUAGUGAAAUAUAAUGAAUAAUUUUGAUCAUAAAAUCGACAAAGUGGAGGCAUAUUUCAUCUCCUCAAUUCCUCGUGCAGUACAUGUUGUCUUACUCGAAAAUUUGCUAGUACAAGUUGAUAUAUGUACAAACAAUUGCAACCUUGCAAACACAAUGGCAGUAGUACUGCGUGCAUAUAUGGCUAGGGUUUCUUAGAAUUCAGAUGCUUUGCGCAGACAUGGACGUAUAUGCUUAUCGUUGAUGUAGCAGCAGAGUCCCACUUGUGCAACCAGCAUGCUAAAAUCUAAGAACUAGUUGGCAUGUUGUGAGCUUAUAAUUAACCCUGAUGUGAACGAGACUCUACCUUUUUCAUUGCAAACAAGAGUACUUGAUCAAUAUAUAUAUGCAUGCACAUAUUAGAAGAGCCUCGACUGUUUAUAAAGGAGCUUUAUUCGUUCGCGCAUGACUUUCACUUGGUUGUACUUGUACUUGUCCUCUCUGCGAGAGAUAUAGAAGAUGUCAGUUCACAUUUCACAUUAUUGAGUCUGCGCCCAUAUACCAUUUGGUGCUUUAUGCAAAGUUUUGUUCUGUGUGGGAUACCGCCGUGCCUUUUAGUUCGUAGUGUAGUCGAAAGUCAUGCGAUUUAAGUCAUUCAUUAUCUGGGAUGCAUCGUAAACAAUGACUAAUUUAGCAACUUCCCUUCUUGUUCAUUAUGACUACGUGAUCAUCUAUUUGGUUUUUCUUUAGCAUAGUCAAUCUGAUAUUUAUAUACUAUCACAAGGAAAAUUAAGUCACCAGAAGGUAAAACCUUUCUCGAUCUACAGCUGAUAGUCAAUCUGGUAAUUCAGUCAGUUUAACCUACUACGUACUGGUGAAGCGUCAUUUUCAGAUUAUGUAGAUAUUUUCAGCAUUAGCGUUAAAUAUAGCAAUAAACUAAACUCAUCCAAACAUCCCACUUGAAGAAAGAACCUAAACUCAUCCCCAAACCUAAUAAACUAGAAAGAGUCAAGUACCUCCAUAGUUUUCAAUUCCUUAAGGGAAAGCCAGGCCUAUUAAACUAAUUAAAAGAGGUAAGUACCUUUCAUAGUUUUCAAUUCCUGAAGUGAAAGAUCAGAAAGGGACAGCCACUGCAUAAUUAGCAUAUCAGCAAGAGGAGCAAAGCUCCUGCAUAUCAAACGUAUUGUAUGCACAUGGUGAUGCCUGCUGCGAAAUCUGCAAUAAUCUAAUCAGAAGUUUAUAGCUUCAUGCCGUUCUUGGCCGACACCUAUAUAUAUUAUGAGGUAGAGCAAACUAUUUUCAUUAACUAAUAGUUUAAUACAAUGACUAUAUCAAACUCGUUAACACCGUUUCUAGAGGUUUUGUUUUGUAAUUUGUAUUUCCUUUACACAAUGGCGAAAUUUAUUUAACACUUAACAGCCAUCGAAGUCGGAAGAAAAGGUAGAGAAGGCAACACCUAGCUGGACACAAUAAUAACGAGAGGACAAGGAUUCCAAGUCUUCCUUCCACGUUAGCAUAUAAACUAUAAACACUUGAUCUUUCUCCAGAAAUUGAUAGCAAAACUCCACACACACCUGACACCUCAUCAACGGACAACGAGGACCACUCGAAAUAACGCCGGAGGGGAACACAAGUCCAUCUUUGAUCUCUAAGUAAAGGGUGAAAUGAUUUAGAUGCAGACUCUUGGAAGAGAGCAAAUAUUAUAAACAACCAAGAGAGGUCUAUUUCUUGCUUGGUGUCCAAGCCUCAUAUUGACCUCCCUCACUAUAGGACAAUCUCGUGGUGGUGCCCUUGAUUAGACCGUUACCUUUUUGGGGAAGAUGACCCCAGUGGCAUGCAUGUCGGCACCUGGCGGCUUGUGAUUGAACUGUGCAGAUUGCUAGGUGACGAGUGGGUGCCGUGUGGCUUUGCUUGGUCAGUACAAGGGCCACAGUCUAGGGUGGUUCCUUUCUCGACACUUCAGAGUUUUGGGUGCUUGAUCUGGAUGGUGGUUUGGACCAAAAUGAUACAAGAGCAUUAUUCAUUCCUUCCUUCUCAUUUUGAAGAGAAUUGGUUUAGAUAGAGCUCUUAAAGACCAGCAAAUAAGCAAGUAGUGGAAGAGAAUUGCCUUUCUAAAUGCAUAAUGUUUUGCAAGAGGGGCAAUACUAUUCUCUGGGCAACUCAGGGCCAAAAUGAAUUGUCUUUUGCGAGAGGGGCAAUACUCCUUGGCAACGUAAGGCUAAAAUGGCGUACACCACAAUGUCAUAUGGGUAUUGCCCAGAUUGGAGCAGUAAUUGGUAAUGCUCUGCGUAGCCGUCGAAACAUACUCAAAACAGUUCCAAGAUAUACAAGAACAAUGGUCAGUUCAGACACUAACCAAUUCAACUUGGCCAUAGUCCAAGCCAGAAGAGGCCAAGACUUCGGAAAUCAAAAUAGCAAAACUGCUCAGAGCACCAGGAUAAAAUUGGGAGAAGAGACGUUGGAUUAGAGGAUGGAAAGGAAAGAGAGAAUUGUGCUAGCUUAAAAGCAAAUAGUUUAACCAUUAAGCAAUCCAUACAAUCCAUUUGAACGCUCUUCUACUUACAUUAACACUACAAAAUAAGCAAAGCUGAGCUCAAAAUAUGUUCCACAGUCAGAGCACACCAAACUUCUAAGCCAAACAAAAUCAGUCAGCACAACCACAUUACCCCAUUUACUGGAUCUUGGCCCUUGAGAAGUCCAUUUCUGGAUGCUGCAAAGUGAUGAUGCGUAGACAUUAGCGAAUUUGAUAGCAGGUGCCAGAAAAUAAUUUCCUAGAAGUGAACAACAAUAGUGUAUUAGAGCCAAAAUACAUUACCUCAGACAUAAAUUUCUUCAAGAUCUCCUGCUUCUGCAUCUCCUCACUGGUUGGAAGGCCCAUCUGCUUCUGCCGCUGGUCAAACUGUUAAGUAAAACAUACAGAGCUUAGAAAUCAUUUGUUCACAAAGAGCAUAAAUUGCUCCAGAUGGGUUCUCGUAAGUUUCAAGAAGAGGAAAGUGGGAAACAAGUUAAACAGCUGUAGAGUUUACCAUCAUCUUCUCAACAGUUUGACGUGUUUCUGAAUCUAGGUCCGACAGUUUGCUAGGCUCUGGUUCAACUUUUUGAGUGUCAAUUUCAGGGUCACCUUUCAGCAGAGCUUUCCACCACUCCAGUUGGUUGUGUUUGGUCAGGAGAAUAGAGACAGCAGUUUGAUCCUCUGCAAAGGUGAUGAAACGCCAUUAAAUCACUUAACCAGCCACAAGUGAGUACUCCUCCAUAACAGGUACUACAGAAGAUAGCAACUAACAUGAAGCAGUCUCCAUAAACACAAGCAUUUAGGUGUGCCAUCAUUACCAUUUAGGACUCUAAAUUCUCAUUUAACAGUGAACAGAACAAGAAAGAAAUGUCAUGAUUCCACAUGCACUAACAUACCUAUGCUCCAUAAGCAAUCAUCAGGCUUGAUAGACUGAUAGAGCUCCCCCUGGAAAUAUUAACAUACAUUAGAACCAGUCCAGAAUAUUUAACAGAAAUAUCAGUUAAUGCAGACUAGAACAAUCAUCAUCGGAUAUAAUCAGUGUUUUGAUAAAACUAUAUUAGUCAUCCACCCACAUUCUCAUUUGCCGCUAUUUUUGAUCAUGUAUGAUCUCUAACAAAUUUUACUGUUCUUCUUGAAAUUUACCAUUAAGUAAACUACUAUAUGGAAUUAUGCAUUCAUAAUACAGCUAGUGAUUUGUGGUAUAUGACAAACCACUAUAUUAGUCAUUCAAACACAUUCUCAUUUGCUGCUAUUUAUGAUCAAGUAUGAUCUCUAACAAAAUUACUGUUCUGCUUGAAAUUUACCAUGUAGUGAACUACCAUAUGCAUUCAUAAUACAGCUAGCGGUUUGUGGUAUAUGACAGGCCAGUAAUAUAAAUUAUAAAGUAACAGACUUACAUCAAUUAUAAGAGGCUGACCCUUCAAUCCAAACUUCAGACGGUUCUUCUUUGCCUCAUAAACAAUAUCCCUUGAUUUAGUUCCAGCAGGCACUGGGAUGAUUAUAUUAACCUCCUGCAGACUCUGGGUCCAUGAGUAUUUCUCCAAAUCAAGCCCAUUCCCUUUGUUUGGAACUGCACAUAAAACGUCAGAGUUACAAUUAUGAUGAAUAUACAACUAUACUCUGUGUACUAGGGGCAGCCGAUACAAUUAGCACUUGUAUGAGAAAUUGAAUACCACAACAAUCACAUUCUCUUUCCCCAUGCAUAUGGUUUAAAAUGUCCAAUUUCUUACAAACCUCCAGAUAUGCCACAGAACAACAAAUUCAAGACCUUCAACAUAAAUCACCCAGUUUCAGUUUAGCAGUUCUCACACUGAAUCUUCAACCAAAUCAGCCUCCACAUCCUAUCACAUUUCCUAAAAUCCAAACAUACGAAACAACCACAUUGCAGAACCACAACACAUCUACUAACAGAUUCCAAAUUCAAAACUUUCCACACUAUAUAAACACAUUGUUCUUCAGCGAAAUUCCAAACCAAUUCUAGAGUUCAUACAUUUUAUCCCACUGUCUUCCACAUAUGCAAACACAUGUUUUUCCCUAAAAUCUCAAAUCAAACAUUUCAAAUUUACAUAUCUCAUUCCUAAUUCCACCAAUCAAACAAAACCAUAACAAUCAUAUAAAUUAUAUAAACCCAUUGUUCCUCAGCCAAAUUCCAACCAAAUUCUAGAGUUCAAACAUUUCAUCCCAUUGUCUUCCACCCUAUACAAAAACACUUCUUUACUCAACAAUUUCAGUUUUACACAUCUCAAUUCCUAGUUUCAGCAAUCAAACAAUAUCAUAAAACCAUAUAACUAUACGAAUCGAAAAGUUCAUAUCUUUGAACAGCUAAUGAUCCGUACCUCUCUUGCCACUCUUCUCCUCCACCUUCUUCUCCUCCGCCUCCUUCUCCUUCUUCUCCUCCGCCACCACCUUCGUCUCCGCCUUCGCCUCCUCCUUAGCCUUCACCUCCGCCUCCGCCUUCUUCUUCUUCUCCUCCUCCUCCUCCGCCCACCUCUUCUUCCUCUCCUCCUCCAUCUUCUUCCUCUCCCUCUCCCUCACCGCCUUGAAAAUCGCCACCAGAUCCCUCUCCGCCGUCGGCCGCCGCAUGAAAUCGCUCUCCUGCGCCAGAAACUCCAGCGCCUUCUCCAGAAACCCCGACGUGUUGUUCCGAUCGAACUUCGUGCUGAACGACGUCGCCGCCACUCUCGCCCCCGACGACGAUGAACCCGAACCCGACGCCGAUUUGGCUUGCGGCGGAGACUUCUGUUGCUGCUCCUCUUGGAUAUCGGAGAUGAUCGCCAUGGCUGAUCGGAAAGUUGUGAGCUUUGGGAUUGUUAGGGUUUAUGGUGCUCUGUAAUUUUUUGGAGCUCUAUUUAUGUAGUGAGGGACUCAAAUCGGUCGAGAUUAACAGAGAGAGUUCCAGAAGGCUUUUUUUUUUUUCUUUUUUUUUUUACAGUUGCGAUUAAACUCUCCUAAUUUGUUGCAAUCACGAUAAUACCCCCCAUUAAGACUCGAGUUCUUCGGAUCAUAGUCCAACCCUAAUUUUGGACAGCAUUUUUUGAGGCUUUCUAUUUGCUCGGUCUAGACUCUAGACUAGGUAUGGAUUUACAAUUGAUAUGUGUAACGCAUUGACUUUGAGAUUAAAGAAAUGCCAAUUUGUUAGAUACAAUAAUGAGAAAUGAAAAAGCCGAUCAUAGAACGCACGCACCUCAGGUUUCCAACAAAUUUAUGAAGGAAAGUUAAUAAACGAGAUGUUUCAUUUUUAUUAGGGAAUAUGUCGUGUUUUUAUUAAGGAAUAUGUUGAAGAAUAGUUCUUUAGAUGUAAUUAUUCUUCAACAACUUCUCAAGGUCUAGGAUCAACACAUCGAUCAACAUUAUAUGCAAUGUCGGUCAAAAAAAUGCGACAACAAUGUGUGAGAGACAAGAAAACAAAACGAUGAAAACGUAUGUGUAGCAUAGUUUGAAAUCAUUAGCAUAUAUGAGAAAUAAUGAAAUUAGGCUGCAUGCGUUUGGUAGCUUGAGUACUCAAGAUUGCUAUUACCACCAAAUUAAAAAGGAUGAAGGAGGUCAGAAGCUCAAGUAAGAAUCACCCUAAGAUGUGUUUAUUGUAUUUUCACAACAGUACAUGAGGCAAUAUAUAGAUUUUGUUCUGCAAUAUUUACUUUGUGUGCCUUGGUCUAAUCCUAAUAGGAAAAGGAAUUCGGUCUAAUGCUAAUAUGAAAAGGAAUUUGGUCUAAUGCUAAUAAUUCAAUCUACAAUCUCCUAACUUCAGGAUUCCAUUGACAAUAGUGAAAGCUUCACUAUGCACAACAGCACUAGCGCUUUCUUCUUUCGAACCCACCCACAUCUUUAGAAACCACAUAAGGCUUGCAGUCCAAAUGAUCAGUAGUUGUAUUCUUGUCUGGCAAUUGAAAGUACGUACUCUUUUGUCUCGAAUGCCCAUGUAUCAACAAUGUUAUUUCCUGCAUUACACAACACAUCGGACCGUGGCAUUUCCACACGAAUUGGGACAUUGCAUAUGGUGCUUAAGACUAUCACCAACAUGAAUUGAUGCAACAACAUGGACAUUUUGCUUAUCCAUCGUCUUAACAUUCUUAUCAGACUUGUCAUUAUCACAAAUCACAUCAACACUAGAUAACUUGCCACCAAGCACAUAACUAAUACCACCACGACCAUUAUUCAUGAAGCUGAAAUUCCCAAAAGAUGUAGAAAUGGCAUCGUCGAGCAGAAGAAACUCCGAAAAUUGCUCUUCUGGUAUUUGAUGGUCUUAUGGAGCAUGGAUGCUCCAUGCUCCUAGCCAUUCUACAACAACUUUGCGUGACUGUUAUAACUCCUAUAUCUUUGAAUUUGUUAUGACUGCUUCUUUGCGAGGCUGUUAGUACAACAACUUGAUUUUGCUUUGGUUCUUGAUUUAUGUUUUAACUACCAUAUAAUUCUUUCAUCAUCUUGGUUAUUAGGAACCUACCAGUUUCCUGUAAAGACAUGACAUCCAUAUUUGAAUAAAAGGUUCAGACAUGACACUUUGCAACAAAUUUUAAUGGGCAACAUUUUCUUGAUUGAUGAUAUGCUCAAUAGUUUUUAACUUCUCUAAAAAAAUAACCAUUACAACAUUUCAUUCAGUUUUUUUGGAGUUCUGAAACUUUAAUUAACGGACCAAAAGUGCCUUAUGUCUGAAGUGUGGUUGCUGCUCUCAAAUUGCUACUAGCCUACUACUGCCCUUCAUCCAAUUGCUACAAGCGUAAUGUGAUUCUCAUCUUCACUAAAUUCAAUGCCUUGCUCAAUCAUGAAUAUAUAUACCAGAAGAACUACUCUAGGGAACAUGACUUCCAUCAUUUCUACCAUCUCUCUCUAGUUGAAAAAAGGUACAAUUACAUUGGGUGACACAUCUGCAGCAGCUUUGGCAACCAUAUACUUCCUCUGCUCUGGGUUGUCAAUACCACGUGAUUCAUAAUCUUCAAUAGCUUUUUCUUCAACCUUGUCUUUUUUUUUUUAGGUACUUGUCAUGUUCUUCUCUAUUAUGUCUUUAUAUAGUUUCAUCAAAUGUUGAAAGACAAACUUGUAGUAAUAAAUGAAUCCCUUACCGUUCUUGAGAUACUCCUCUCCAUAUUCAUUGUAGACAGCUUUAAAGAAUUUGGUUGCUUCUACCUUUCGUUUAACGACAUCAUCUAUAUUUGUUUCUAUGCUCAAAGUCAGAAUAUACUCUUCAAGGUCUGCCCAUAUUCCUUGGUAGGUUUUUGCUCUCUGUGAAAACGUAGGAUAUGCAUGACACAUGAUCUCCCUUAUUUCUUCGUCUGUUAACAGUGAAGGAUGAUAGAAUAAUUACCGAAAUUUGUUCCUACAUGCAAGUGAGAAUGUAAAAACCAAGAUAAUAUGUUGAACUAUUAUUGUUUGUUUACGUUUUUUUAUAUUACUAAACACUUUAAAUGAAAGUGAUUAUGAUUACUGAAAUAUGCAAUUGUUAUGGCAAUUAACGUUCCUAGCUGACUCAGUUAUGUUUUGUUUACUUGCACAUUGUUAUCCACUCUUACUAGCAUCUGUAGGAAAUAUUUGAAUUCUCCAGGAUAAUCGUGUUCCUCUGGAUGCAGCUUCUCGGCCAAGCGAUAUAGGGAUUCUGGGUACAGAGUUUGAUACUCUUCAUGGUUCAAUGUGUACCUUCCUCCGGCAUUUACAACUAUGUUGUCAACGGUUAGUUUGCCUAUUAAGUUUCCAUUUCUCAUCAUGUUGAUACAGUUCCAAAUGGUGUCCUUGCAUUUGUUUUUAAGAGAUCAAAUAACACAGUCAACCAAAAUUGAUUGCAUAAUAUGUAGAUAAAUUAUGAGACUUGUAAUAGGGUAAUAGAAUGAUAUGUUAAUUCUUUAUUAUCUUAUAUAUGUUAUAGGUUCUUGUCCAGAGUGUAGUUUUUUUGUUUAUUGUUUUUGUUUUGUUGAUUUGGUGCAGAUGGUGGUGGUGAUGAUGAGAGAUGUGUGUGGGGUUGGACACAAGAAGGUCUCUUGAGGUUCUGCAGAACUCGUCUCUGAUUUUUGCAGAGGAGAGGAUUCCUAUGAAGGACCCUAUUGGCGAGUUUCAUAAGUACACUGGUGGUUAGAAAAUAUCAGCAAUGAUCAUGACUGGGCUGUGAGUUAUUGUAAUCUUUAUAUUAGUUGCAACAAUCAUUUGUUUAGUGCUAAUUUCAAUUUCACAUUAUUAAGUACUAGAUUGUGUAAUUAAAAAUCUUCCAGUUCUCAUCAACAAAGGCAUGCGUACAUUAUGAUUAUACAUCAAUUAUGUAAGGCGACCGUGAUUGUAAUGCACGUAUCUUCUGUAUGAUAUUGAAAACUACAACUAUUAUCCAACUUUGUCUUCUAUCUUCUGCCUAAGAUUGUAAUGCAAGUCUACUUUUUGUCUACAACAACAGCUAUCAAUGUAAUACGCAAUGAAAUGUGUAAUGCAAUAAGCAGCUAUCAAUGUAAUGCGCAAUGUAAAACAAAUUGUUUUGGAAGAAAGAACAAACAACAGCAACCGAAAGAUUGCAAGAAGAAGUUGGUUUGGUAGUGAUGCACAAUUUACAUCUAUCAAGGUAAUGCACAAUUAAUGUAAGGCCUCGAAAGCUAGUUGCAUACCUGUAUAGUUGGUACACAGCCCUUGGAACCUUGUUCUUCGCAACAAGGUUUUCUGCAAAUGAAUCAUAAUUCUCCGGAUGGGGAAUUAUGUCCUCUCUCAAUGUCAACUGUUUCAUAGAGUAAAUUAAAUCAAUACGUGAAGGUGUUAUAAUGAUAAUGAGAUCAUCUUGGUUAUUAGGAACCUACCAGUUCCCCUGUAAAGACAGGGCAUCCAUACUUGAAUAAAAGGUUCAGACAUGACAUUUUGCAAUAAAUUUUAAUGGGCAGCAUUUCUUGAUUGAUGAUAUGCUCAAUAGUUUUUAACUUCUUUGAAAAAAUAAACAUUACAAUAUUUCAUUCAGUUUUUUUGGAGUUCUGAAGCUUUAAUUAACAGACCAAAAGUGCCUUAUGUCUGAAGUGUGGUUGUUGCUCUCAAAUUGCUACUAGCCUCCUACUGCCCUUCAUCCAAUUGCUACUAGCGUAAUGGAAUUCUCAUCUUCGUUAAAUUCAAGAAAAAAAUUCAGUUUAUUACCCUGAACUUUAGGUCUAAAAUCAGUUUGAUACCUCAUCUUUUUUUUUAAUCAAUUUCAUACCUAAACUUUCAAAAUGACAUCAAUCUCGACCAAAAUGACUAAAAUAGCCCUGAUUAAUCUUUUUACCCUCUCUCUCCCUGCCUCCAAAUCCACCACAUGGCCGGCGCCGGCAUCCACCCCUACCACCAGCAAUGGGCCCCGGCGGCAGCCCCUCCUCCUCCCCCGGCCGUCGCCGCUGCCAUUCUUAACUCUGAGUGGGUAAAAAGAUUAACCAGGGCUAUUUUAGUCAUUUUAGUCGAGAUUGAUGUCAUUUUGAAAGUUUAGGUAUGAAACUGAUUAAAAAAAAGAUGAGGUAUCAAAAUGAUUUUAGACCUAAAGUUCAGGAUAGUAAAAUGAAAUUAUC
Molecule: long non-coding RNA, 39579 nt
Filed under: Fragaria vesca (wild strawberry)
Lineage: Eukaryota; Viridiplantae; Streptophyta; Magnoliopsida; Rosales; Rosaceae
Description: long non-coding RNA (FVES_LNC003902)
Source: RNAcentral